AUUGAACGCUGGCGGCAGGCCUAACACAUGCAAGUCGAACGAGAGGUGGACGGGUGAGUAAUGUCUGGGAAAUUGCCUGAUGGAGGGGGAUAACUACUGGAAACCGUAGCUAAGACCGCAUACUAUCAGAUGUGUCCAGCUGGUUUUCGCUAGGCGGUGGGGUCACGGCGCACCUAGGCGACGAUCCCUAGCUGGUCGGAGAGGAUGACCAGCCACACUGGAACUGAGACACGGUCCAGACUCCUAGGGGAGGCAGCAGUGGGGAUUAUUGCACAAUGGGCGCAGGCCUGAUACAGCCAUGCCGCGUGUAUGAAGAAGGCCUUCGGGUUGUAAAGUACUUUCAGCGGGGAGGCGGUACCAGCAGAAGAAGCACCGGCUAACUCCGUGCCAGCAGCCGCGGUAAUAC
This 406-nucleotide ribosomal RNA is filed under the name uncultured bacterium. Its description in RNAcentral is "partial 16S ribosomal RNA". It matches the Rfam family "Bacterial small subunit ribosomal RNA", at positions 30 to 526 of the family's 1533-position model. The record is from RNAcentral.